GGAUAAUCUACCCUUAGGACCGGGAUAACCCUGGGAAACUGGGGCUAAUACUGGAUAGGCAAUUUUUCCUGCAAUGGUUUUUUGUUUAAAUGUUUUUUCGCCUAAGGAUGAGUCUGCGGCCGAUUAGGUAGUUGGUUAGGUAAUGGCUUACCAAGCCGUUGAUCGGUACGGGUUGUGAGAGCAAGAGCCCGGAGAUGGAACCUGAGACAAGGUUCCAGGCCCUACGGGGUGCAGCAGGCGCGAAACCUCCGCAAUGUGAGAAAUCGCGACGGGGGGAUCCCAAGUGCCAUUCUUAACGGGAUGGCUUUUCAUUAGUGUAAAGAGCUUUUGGAAUAAGAGCUGGGCAAGACCGGUGCCAGCCGCCGCGGUAACACCGGCAGCUCUAGUGGUAACAAUUUUUAUUGGGCCUAAAGCGUCCGUAGCCGGUUUAAUAAGUCUCUGGUGAAAUCCUGUAGCUUAACUGUGGGAAUUGCUGGAGAUACUAUUAGACUUGAGACCGGGAGAGGUUAGAGGUACUCCCAGGGUAGAGGUGAAAUUCUGUAAUCCUGGGAGGACCGCCUGUUGCGAAGGCGUCUAACUGGAACGGUUCUGACGGUGAGGGACGAAAGUUAGGGGCGCGAACCGGAUUAGAUACCCGGGUAGUCCUAACUGUAAACGAUGCGGACUUGGU
Molecule: ribosomal RNA, 670 nt
Filed under: uncultured archaeon
Lineage: Archaea
Description: bacterial SSU rRNA
Rfam family: Archaeal small subunit ribosomal RNA
Source: RNAcentral